Cannabis sativa is the source of this 331-nucleotide long non-coding RNA. RefSeq lists it as uncharacterized. The record is from RefSeq and is a predicted model, not a curated record. Lineage: Eukaryota; Viridiplantae; Streptophyta; Magnoliopsida; Rosales; Cannabaceae. The transcript is spliced from 2 exons.
CUUUCCUCUGUUCUCCAGAGCUCACCAUCUAAAAAAACCAAAAUCCAACUCCACCUUAGUCACAAAAACACCUCUCUUUCCACGGAGCUAUGGAGCUUACUCUAUAUCUCUCAAAUUCGGUUCACCCCCACAAACCACCUCCUUCGUCAAAAUCCCAAAUGCAAAUGGGUACUAGCCUCCAAAAAAAAACUGAAUCCUCUUCUCCAUCAAAGCUGGGUCACGAAGAAGGAGGAUCCCCUCUGUUUUUUUUUUGGCAGGUAUUUUUGUAAAUAACAACUUUUAGUUUCUAUUUUUGUUUAUUUUCUCUAUGUAGGUCAUAAAUGUAAAUUUU